ACGGGAGGCAGCAGUGGGGAAUAUUGGGCAAUGGGGGAAACCCUGACCCAGCAACGCCGCGUGAGGGAUGAAGGCCUUCGGGUUGUAAACCUCUGUCCUCAGGGACGAAUAAACUGACGGUACCUGAGGAGGAAGCUCCGGCUAACUACGUGCCAGCAGCCGCGGUAAUACGUAGGGAGCAAGCGUUGUCCGGAAUUACUGGGCGUAAAGGGUGCGUAGGCGGCGCGUUAAGUCAGAUGUGAAAUACCCGGGCUCAACCCGGGGGGUGCAUCUGAUACUGGCGUGCUUGAGUGCAGGAGAGGAAAGCGGAAUUCCUAGUGUAGCGGUGAAAUGCGUAGAUAUUAGGAGGAACACCAGUGGCGAAGGCGGCUUUCUGGACUGUAACUGACGCUGAGGCACGAAAGCGUGGGGAGCAAACAGGAUUAGAUACCCUGGUA
Molecule: ribosomal RNA, 437 nt
Filed under: uncultured Christensenella sp.
Lineage: Bacteria; Bacillati; Bacillota; Clostridia; Christensenellales; Christensenellaceae
Description: partial 16S ribosomal RNA
Rfam family: Bacterial small subunit ribosomal RNA
Source: RNAcentral